GGUCCAUUGGCGUAAUGUAUUCUGUACUUAAACCCUCCUUCUCCCUUCUCAUUCUAAAUCAAGAAUUCUUCUCAACAGCAGCGCGUCUGACUACGAUGAGUACAUCAGGAGGUUCCAGGUUCGACCCCUGGAUGGAUCG
Non-coding RNA from Chaetomidium leptoderma, 139 nucleotides. The record is from the annotation of a GenBank genome assembly. Lineage: Eukaryota; Fungi; Ascomycota; Sordariomycetes; Sordariales; Chaetomiaceae.